CGCGUAGGCGGUUGUGUAAGUUGGAAGUGAAAUCCCCGGGCUCAACCUGGGCACUGCCUUCAAAACUGCACGGCUAGAGUAUGGGGGAGGAAGGUAGAAUUCCAGGUGUAGCGGUGAAAUGCGUAGAGAUCUGGAGGAAUACCGAUGGCGAAGGCAGCCUUCUGGCCUAAUACUGACGCUGAGGUGCGAAAGCAUGGGGAGCAAACAGGAUUAGAUACCCUGGUAGUCCAUGCCGUAAACGAUGUCGACUAGGUGUUGGGGAACUUGAUUCCUUAGUGCCGCAGCUAACGCAUUAAGUCGACCGCCUGGGGAGUACGACCGCAAGGUUAAA
RNAcentral lists this ribosomal RNA (331 nucleotides) under uncultured bacterium. Its description in RNAcentral is "bacterial SSU rRNA". It matches the Rfam family "Bacterial small subunit ribosomal RNA", at positions 568 to 898 of the family's 1533-position model. The record is from RNAcentral.